This 74-nucleotide transfer RNA is filed under the name Quadrisphaera sp. DSM 44207. It matches the Rfam family "tRNA". From Rfam's summary of the family: Transfer RNA (tRNA) molecules are approximately 80 nucleotides in length. Their secondary structure includes four short double-helical elements and three loops (D, anti-codon, and T loops). Lineage: Bacteria; Bacillati; Actinomycetota; Actinomycetes; Kineosporiales; Kineosporiaceae. The record is from Rfam by way of RNAcentral.
GGGCCUAUAGCUCAGUCGGUCAGAGCGCUUCCCUGAUAAGGAAGAGGUCACAGGUUCAAGUCCUGUUAGGCCCA